AAUAAGAUGCCUGAGAAAAGGAUUAUUUUGAUAGAAUAAAUCAUGUAUAAAUUUAUACUCUUAUUG
RNAcentral lists this transfer RNA (66 nucleotides) under Exitianus nanus. RNAcentral describes it as "tRNA-Ile". The record is from RNAcentral. Lineage: Eukaryota; Metazoa; Arthropoda; Insecta; Hemiptera; Cicadellidae.